This 427-nucleotide ribosomal RNA is filed under the name uncultured bacterium. Its description in RNAcentral is "bacterial SSU rRNA". It matches the Rfam family "Bacterial small subunit ribosomal RNA", at positions 355 to 774 of the family's 1533-position model. The record is from RNAcentral.
UGGGGAAUUUUGGACAAUGGGCGAAAGCCUGAUCCAGCAAUGCCGCGUGUGUGAAGAAGGCCUUCGGGUUGUAAAGCACUUUUGUCCGGAAAGAAAUCUGUCUGGCUAAUACCCGGACGGGAUGACGGUACCGGAAGAAUAAGCACCGGCUAACUACGUGCCAGCAGCCGCGGUAAUACGUAGGGUGCGAGCGUUAAUCGGAAUUACUGGGCGUAAAGCGUGCGCAGGCGGUUUUGUAAGACCGAUGUGAAAUCCCCGGGCUUAACCUGGGAACUGCAUUGGUGGCUGCAAGGCUAGAGUGCGUCAGAGGGUGGUGGAAUUCCGCGUGUAGCAGUGAAAUGCGUAGAGAUGCGGAGGAACACCGAUGGCGAAGGCAGCCCCCUGGGAUGACACUGACGCUCAUGCACGAAAGCGUGGGGAGCAAACA